This is a long non-coding RNA of Lynx canadensis (Canada lynx), 620 nucleotides long. RefSeq lists it as uncharacterized. The transcript is spliced from 4 exons. The record is from RefSeq and is a predicted model, not a curated record. Lineage: Eukaryota; Metazoa; Chordata; Mammalia; Carnivora; Felidae.
GACUGUUAAGGAUCUGCUGAAACCCAAAAAGAGAAGUGGGGCGCACCCCGCGCAGCAAACCUGCUGUCCUCCCCGAAAAGGAAACACACACACCGGCCAGUGACUGCGCACAGCCCGCUCCCACUGCCACUCUGUGGAAAGUGCUUUGCGCAACCAGACAAGGCAGCUGAGGAACGAAGGCACGUCAGUGUCAAACAAAGGCCGUUCCCCCCAGGAUACCUGCAGCCAGCAAGAAGCAAUUCCUUCAGCACUGGGAGUGCCGACUUCAGGCACUGGCAGUGGAGACUUCAGGCACUGGGUGUGACGACUUCAGUCACUGGGAAUGACGACUGCCGUCACUAGGAGUAACUGCAGACACUGAGUGUGACUUUGACUUCAGUCACUGGGAGUGACUCAGGCAAGAGAUUGUGCUGCUCUUUGGCAGAUUUAGGCUUGUUUCCGGGAAGUAACCCUAACAGAAAUUCAGAAGCACAGGAGCUGCAUUCAAUUAGGACGUGGAUAAUGAAAUGCUCGUCUCACGACCUUCUAGAAGAAUGAGCUGGGACCCAUGUUCCGAGUCCUGCUGGAACCAGAGACCAAGAUUGCUGUCCAGUUUUUCCAAAACCAUAUGUUGAGGAGCC